RNAcentral lists this transfer RNA (69 nucleotides) under Cynoglossus quadrilineatus (fourlined tonguesole). Its description in RNAcentral is "tRNA-Glu". It matches the Rfam family "tRNA". Rfam says of the family: Transfer RNA (tRNA) molecules are approximately 80 nucleotides in length. Their secondary structure includes four short double-helical elements and three loops (D, anti-codon, and T loops). The record is from RNAcentral. Lineage: Eukaryota; Metazoa; Chordata; Actinopteri; Pleuronectiformes; Cynoglossidae.
GUUCCUAUAGUUGAAUAACAACAGUGGUUUUUCAAGCCACUAGUUUUGGUUAAAGUCCAGGUAGGAAUU